Molecule: long non-coding RNA, 503 nt
Organism: Anopheles arabiensis
Lineage: Eukaryota; Metazoa; Arthropoda; Insecta; Diptera; Culicidae
Exons: 3
Source: RefSeq, a predicted model, not a curated record
UUUCCCUUUCGUGUAUCGUUUGGAAAAUGAAGUGCAAAGUUAAUGUUCAAUUUAAUAUCGAUUUUAACAGUUUUUAAAGCUUUUGUGCAAUGUAGCUGGGUGUGUAUCGGAAAUCCAAUUUAAAUUUCAUUUCUUGUUCCACUGCCCCAAACUUCCUUCGCUGCUUCCGCACGGACCCGGACUUUGUUUAAUUACAUCCACAGCGCUGCUUCCACUAAUCGAAACGAGAUGUGUACGCGCCAAUCACGCGCCGAUCCCGUCCGCGUGCUGCUCUCUGUCCGUAACCUUUUCCGCGCGUUAGCAUAACCCUUGGAGGGGUCCGAAAGGGUUGGGAAGGAAAUUAACCUUACGCGGUGGAUCAUGCGGCGUUAGUGGAGUGGCAGAGCGGAGAGGACGGUGGAGAAUGGAAUCAGCUCUAAUUAUCUUUAUUGCGUUUGCGUGCAGGAUAGCUGGAUUAAAAGAAGAAUAACUUCCAAAUGGCAACACUAACGAUCGUAGCGAAG